GGGGGGCGGGUGCUAUAAUGCAGUCGAACGAGUUCUCGUUGAUGCAUCGGUGCUUGCACCGAGAUUCAACAUGGAACGAGUGGCGGACGGGUGAGUAACACGUGGGUAACCUGCCCUUAAGUGGGGGAUAACAUUUGGAAACAGAUGCUAAUACCGCAUAGAUCCAAGAACCGCAUGGUUCUUGGCUGAAAGAUGGCGUAAGCUAUCGCUUUUGGAUGGACCCGCGGCGUAUUAGCUAGUUGGUGAGGUAAUGGCUCACCAAGGCGAUGAUACGUAGCCGAACUGAGAGGUUGAUCGGCCACAUUGGGACUGAGACACGGCCCAAACUCCUACGGGAGGCAGCAGUAGGGAAUCUUCCACAAUGGACGCAAGUCUGAUGGAGCAACGCCGCGUGAGUGAAGAAGGCUUUCGGGUCGUAAAACUCUGUUGUUGGAGAAGAAUGGUCGGCAGAGUAACUGUUGUCGGCGUGACGGUAUCCAACCAGAAAGCCACGGCUAACUACGUGCCAGCAGCCGCGGUAAUACGUAGGUGGCAAGCGUUAUCCGGAUUUAUUGGGCGUAAAGCGAGCGCAGGCGGUUUUUUAAGUCUGAUGUGAAAGCC
Molecule: ribosomal RNA, 600 nt
Filed under: Lacticaseibacillus casei
Lineage: Bacteria; Bacillati; Bacillota; Bacilli; Lactobacillales; Lactobacillaceae
Description: bacterial SSU rRNA
Rfam family: Bacterial small subunit ribosomal RNA
Source: RNAcentral